This 497-nucleotide ribosomal RNA is filed under the name uncultured bacterium. RNAcentral describes it as "partial 16S ribosomal RNA". It matches the Rfam family "Bacterial small subunit ribosomal RNA", at positions 28 to 507 of the family's 1533-position model. The record is from RNAcentral.
GAUGAACGCUGGCGGCGUGCCUAAUACAUGCAAGUCGAGCGAACGGACGAGAAGCUUGCUUUUCUGAUGUUAGCGGCGGACGGGUGAGUAACACGUGGAUAACCUACCUAUAAGACUGGGAUAACUUCGGGAAACCGGGGCUAAUACCGGAUAAUAUUUUGAACCGCAUGGUUCAAAAGUGAAAGACGGUCUUGCUGUCACUUAUAGAUGGAUCCGCGCUGCAUUAGCUAGUUGGUAAGGUAACGGCUUACCAAGGCAACGAUGCAUAGCCGACCUGAGAGGGUGAUCGGCCACACUGGAACUGAGACACGGUCCAGACUCCUACGGGAGGCAGCAGUAGGGAAUCUUCCGCAAUGGGCGAAAGCCUGACGGAGCAACGCCGCGUGAGUGAUGAAGGUCUUCGGAUCGUAAAACUCUGUUAUUAGGGAAGAACAUAUGUGUAAGUAACUGUGCACAUCUUGACGGUACCUAAUCAGAAAGCCACGGCUAACUACGUG